UUUCCGGAUCUUGAACAAUGUUUUCGUUCAGAUUUAUCUUUACAUGAAAAAUGACAAAAUUUCAAUUACUUUUGAAACUGUGGCUAUUUUUCAAUUACCACUUGUAAAUCUAGCUAUUUUUGAAUUUCUCCCAUUAUUGUAGAGUCUGAUGGACUCUCAUGGGUUGCCUUGUAUAGGCGAUAUACUGGGCCUAAUUAUUUAUAGAAUAGUAGCCCGUUAACUUGUUAACACUUCAAUUGAUUUUUCACGUGAUAGCAAACUUGAUUAUUAAAAUCAGAAACAAUUAACAAGGCUCUAAACAUCAAUGCAUGAGUAUACAGAUCACACGACUAUUUUAUUAUAUCAACAACAACAACAACAACGACCCAGUAAAAUCUCACUAAUGGGGUCUGGGGAGGGUAGUGUGUACGCAGACCUUACUCCUACCCCGAAGGAGUAGAGAGGCUGUUUCCGAAAGACCCUCGGCUCAAAAAAACAAAAAGACAAAAGGACAAAAAGGAGACAAUAUUAAUAUCACAACAACAAUCAUAGGNNNNNNNNNNNNNNNNNNNNNNNNNGAACACCAUGAAAUCUAGAAGAAAGAUGCAAAGCAAAAGCGAUAGCUAGUAAAUAGGACAUGCACUGAAAAGCAAAAUAGUAAGACACAACAUUGCCACGGGCUAUCUUAGACAAAAACCCUACAUGACUAUUUUAUUAUAUCAAAGCUCUAAAAGGGAAACAUUACCCUAAUCAAUUAUUGUUGGGGAUUAGUUAUUCCAGUUGUUCUUAGCGUGAAAUUAUAGCAAUGUAUACGUGCUCGACCAAUUUUAUAGCAUGAACUAACCACCUAGUAGGAAAUUCAGAUUAAGACUAGAUGAUUACAAAUUUAAUGCCAUAACAACUGAAAUUAAAAAUACAGACCACACGUGUGUAUACAAACCAUAAGCUGUAACUCACUAGUUCUACAUUCUAACUUCAAUAUCAAGCUAUCAUAAGAUGAACUUCAGCAGCCUUAAGAUAAUCACAGGAUUCAAACAUCCAACUGAUGCAUACGACUUAAUUGAAGAUUAUACCUGCGUGGCAUGACUUUCAAUACAAACAAUCACAUGAGCUCAAACGAGUUUUAAUCAAUCUCACAGAUUCAUAAUCAUUGACAGAGUUUCAAUUUUCUCGCUUCUAAUCAAUAAACUAUCCAACUACUGAAAUUCUCAACUGAAUCACAUUUGCAGCAUUAAGUAUUGAUCAGAAAAGGAAUACAAGCAAGUAGAAAAGGAAUACAAGCAAGUUUCAGGAUUAGGCAAACUGAAUCCAGGAAAUUAGGUAUAAACGCAUCAUGAACAAAUCAAUGUGUCAUCCAUAGAUUCAGAGAAGAGAAUACAGAUGAAGAUUUACAUACCUAAAAGCAGAAAACAGUAGAGAAAUGACCAAAUAAAGGUCUGGACUCCAAAGAACCAAGCUCGGCUACAGUGAACAGCAGAAACAGCAAUUUCUUCAUACACAAACAACUUUCAAAAUCGAGAAAGUUUGCAACAAAAGGUAGAAAUUGGAAACAACUUUGAAUUUUUUUUGUGUUUUUUUUUGUGUUUUUUUUCUGUUUUUUCAGCUUUUGAAUUUCCAGAUCCAGGAUUUUAAUUCAAAAAUUCAGGAUGCUUCUAUAUGCUAAGAGGCGUGUGUGUGAGAGGAGUGUCUAUUGCGUGUGUCCAGAAUUCUGUGUGUGAGUCCUUUUUUAUAACUGAUUUUCAGAUUCUCUUUUUGUUAAUUCCUUUCUUUUCAGUCCUUUUUUAUUUUCUAUUUUACCCCCUCAAAUACUUGUUUAUUAUUCCCUCAGACCCCAAAUACCUGACCUGCUCACUCUUUUUCUUGCAAAUUAGUCCUUUCCCUAUCUCCUGGAACCUUCUAGGUUGUUAACAACAAAUAUUCCCUUAGUUUAAUUCCAAAAUCACCCUUUAGACUCUUGCUUAACACCUGACAGCACCAAAUAAAUGCCUGGGCUUCAAACUACAGGCCCAAGAUCAAAGCCCAAACCUUCAAACCCUUUAUAGACCUAAACUACUUACCCUAAUUAUGAAACGGAUUUCUGAACUAAACAAAUAAUUUAAACUACAUAUUUAGACAACCAUUAAACUGUUAAAAACGAAAUAAAAAACUCUUAAAUGACUAAUUCAUGCCCCAAAAACAGUGUCAAAACUCAAAAACUACCAAACUAACAAUCAAUUCAAAACUUAAUGACUAAGCAUAGAAAUAAUACACUACAACAUAAAAUGGGAAUUACUAAUCGAUUAUGCAACAACUAAGAACAUUUAAUGUUAAUCUGAAAAUGAAGACCUGACCUAAACGUGCAGCUGAAACAAAAGAAAACAAAAUUAGAGAAUACCUUCUUGAAGAAACUCGAAUCAAACAUUGGCGACUGAAUUCUGGCUGGUCAACGGUGUUUGACCGGACUCCGGCGACUUCGAAGUGAGCUAAAACUAACGUCAAUCGAUUACACUCGUCAAGAGAAAUCGAUCAACGUAAGUUUCAAGUCAAGACGAAUUGAAAAAGGCCUAGAAAUCGAAAAGGGGACAGAUUAGGCUUUAAUACCUUCCUAGAUCUACUAAUUGGGGAGUUUGGGUGGUUUUCUGGGGAAAUUGAAGGUAUGGGAGGCAUGCGGGAAGAAUGGUGAUUGUUUGGUGAUGUUUUGGUGGUGUUUGGAGGUGGCCCGCCGUUGUGGGCGAUUCCCGGCGGGCGGCGGAGGAUGAGAGAGGGUGAGAAGGGGUCUGAGAAGAGCGUUUGAGGGU
RNAcentral lists this long non-coding RNA (2756 nucleotides) under Nicotiana tabacum (common tobacco). RNAcentral's name for it is "long non-coding RNA (NTAB_LNC007987)". The record is from RNAcentral. Lineage: Eukaryota; Viridiplantae; Streptophyta; Magnoliopsida; Solanales; Solanaceae.